RNAcentral lists this ribosomal RNA (253 nucleotides) under uncultured bacterium. RNAcentral describes it as "partial 16S ribosomal RNA". It matches the Rfam family "Bacterial small subunit ribosomal RNA", at positions 524 to 776 of the family's 1533-position model. The record is from RNAcentral.
UACGUAGGUGGCAAGCGUUGUCCGGAUUUACUGGGCGUAAAGGGCGUGCAGGCGGUUUGUUAAGUGCAGGGUGAAAGCUCCCGGCUCAACUGGGAGAGGUCCUUGCAUACUGGCAAACUCGAGGGAGGCAGAGGAUAGUGGAAUUCCCGGUGUAGUGGUGAUAUGCGUAGAUAUCGGGAGGAACACCUGUGGCGAAGGCGGCUUUCUGGGCCUUACCUGACGCUGAGACGCGAAAGCGUGGGGAGCGAACAGG